Molecule: ribosomal RNA, 441 nt
Filed under: uncultured bacterium
Lineage: Bacteria
Description: partial 16S ribosomal RNA
Rfam family: Bacterial small subunit ribosomal RNA
Source: RNAcentral
CCUACGGGUGGCAGCAGUGGGGGAUAUUGCACAAUGGGGGAAACCCUGAUGCAGCGACGCCGCGUGGGUGAAGAAGUAUUUCGGUAUGUAAAGCCCUAUCAGCAGGGAAGAAAGAAGACGGUACCUGACUAAGAAGCCCCGGCUAACUACGUGCCAGCAGCCGCGGUAAUACGUAGGGGGCGAGCGUUAUCCGGAUUCACUGGGUGUAAAGGGAGCGUAGACGGCCGUGCAAGCCAGGAGUGAAAGCCCGGGGCCCAACCCCGGGACUGCUCUUGGAACUGUGCGGCUGGAGUGCGGGAGGGGCAGGCGGAAUUCCUGGUGUAGCGGUGAAAUGCGUAGAUAUCAGGAGGAACACCGGCGGCGAAGGCGGCCUGCUGGACCGCGACUGACGUUGAGGCUCGAAAGCGUGGGGAGCGAACAGGAUUAGAUACCCCAGGAGUC